This is a small nuclear RNA of Ailuropoda melanoleuca (giant panda), 211 nucleotides long. Its record names the gene U2. It matches the Rfam family "U2 spliceosomal RNA". Rfam says of the family: U2 is a small nuclear RNA (snRNA) component of the spliceosome (involved in pre-mRNA splicing). Complementary binding between U2 snRNA (in an area lying towards the 5' end but 3' to hairpin I) and the branchpoint sequence (BPS) of the intron results the bulging out of an unpaired adenosine, on the BPS, which initiates a nucleophilic attack at the intronic 5' splice site, thus starting the first of two transesterification reactions that mediate splicing. The record is from Ensembl. Lineage: Eukaryota; Metazoa; Chordata; Mammalia; Carnivora; Ursidae.
GUCGCUUCUUGGCCUUUUGGCUAAGGUCAAUGUAGCACCUGUUCUCAUCAGUUAAAUCUGAUUUUUUUCUAUCGCUGUAUGGGGUGUAUUGAUGCAUGCAUUAAAGGAAAGAUGGUACUAAGAAGAUACUUAAAAUUGCAUUUCGAGUUUUUUAAAAAAGGAUAGCAUUUUUUUUAUAAUGUUUCAUUUCCAUGUGAUAAGAGUGCUGAUU